UUGUUCUCUAAAUAGGGACUUGUAUGAAUGGCCACACGAGGGUUUAACUGUCUCUUACUCCCAAUCAGUGAAAUUGACCUUCCCGUGAAGAGGCGGGAAUACCACAAUAAGACGAGAAGACCCUAUGGAGCUUUAAUUAACUAACCCAAACUUAUGGAUACUAGAUACCUACAAGGCAUAACAUAACACCAUUAUUAUGAGUUAGCAAUUUAGGUUGGGGUGACCUCGGAAUAUGAAAAAACUCCCGAGUGAUUAAAAUUUAGACCCACAAGUCAAAAUACAACAUCACUUAUUGAUCCAAUAAUUUUUGAUCAACGGAACAAGUUACCCUAGGGAUAACAGCGCAAUCCUAUUCAAGAGUCCAUAUCGACAAUAGGGUUUACGACCUCGAUGUUGGAUCAGGACAUCCUAAUGGUGCAGCAGCUAUUAAGGGUUCGUUU
Molecule: ribosomal RNA, 440 nt
Filed under: Canis lupus familiaris (dog)
Lineage: Eukaryota; Metazoa; Chordata; Mammalia; Carnivora; Canidae
Description: partial 16S ribosomal RNA
Rfam family: Bacterial large subunit ribosomal RNA
Source: RNAcentral